GAACGCAUCUUGCGCUCCUUGGUAUUCUGAGGAGCAUGCCUGUUUGAGUAUCAUGAACACCUCAACUCUCAUGGUUUGCCAUGAUGAGCUUGGACUUUGGGGGUCUUGCUGGCCUAUGGUCGGCUCCUCUCAAAUGAAUCAGCUUACCAGUGUUUGGUGGCGUCACAGGUGUGAUAACUAUCUACGCUUGUGGCUUUCCAUCAGGUAACCUUCAGCGAUGGAGGUUUGCUGGGGCUCAUAAAUGUCUCUCCUCAGCGAGGACAGCUUUUUUGAACGUUUGACCUCAAAUCAGGUAGGACCACCCGCUGAACUUAAG
RNAcentral lists this unclassified non-coding RNA (316 nucleotides) under uncultured Tomentella. RNAcentral describes it as "sequence contains 5.8S rRNA gene". Lineage: Eukaryota; Fungi; Basidiomycota; Agaricomycetes; Thelephorales; Thelephoraceae. The record is from RNAcentral.